RNAcentral lists this ribosomal RNA (497 nucleotides) under uncultured bacterium. Its description in RNAcentral is "partial 16S ribosomal RNA". It matches the Rfam family "Bacterial small subunit ribosomal RNA", at positions 28 to 507 of the family's 1533-position model. The record is from RNAcentral.
GACGAACGCUGGCGGCGUGCCUAAUACAUGCCAGUAGAACGCUGAAGAGAGGAGCUUGCUCUUCUUGGAUGAGUUGCGAACGGGUGAGUAACGCGUAGGUAACCUGCCUUGUAGCGGGGGAUAACUAUUGGAAACGAUAGCUAAUACCGCAUAACAAUGGAUGACACAUGUCAUUUAUUUGAAAGGGGCAAUUGCUCCACUACAAGAUGGACCUGCGUUGUAUUAGCUAGUAGGUGAGGUAAUGGCUCACCUAGGCGACGAUACAUAGCCGACCUGAGAGGGUGAUCGGCCACACUGGGACUGAGACACGGCCCAGACUCCUACGGGAGGCAGCAGUAGGGAAUCUUCGGCAAUGGGGGCAACCCUGACCGAGCAACGCCGCGUGAGUGAAGAAGGGUUUCGGAUCGUAAAGCUCGGUUGUAAGUCAAGAACGGGUGUGAGAGUGGAAAGUUCACACUGUGACGGUAGCUUACCAGAAAGGGACGGCUAACUACGUG